This is an RNA transcript of Triticum dicoccoides, 2011 nucleotides long. It is a transcript of the gene named zinc finger MYM-type protein 1-like, with no coding region annotated. Lineage: Eukaryota; Viridiplantae; Streptophyta; Magnoliopsida; Poales; Poaceae. The record is from RefSeq and is a predicted model, not a curated record. The transcript is spliced from 6 exons.
UCCAGGGACGAGACCAAGCCGUCUCACACUCCCGCGACCAGACCUAGCGCCGGCGGCGGACCAGCCGAGAAGGGAGCUUGCGGGAGCGGCGGACCAGGGAGCCGGCGGGGGCGGCGGACUGCCGGAGCUCCGCGCCAGAAGAGAGGUGCUCACGCGCCCACCGACGAGCCGCGCCAAGCCGCCAACAGCCAACCCAUCGCGGCUGCGCCCUGCCUGCGUGCUGCUCCGACCCCGGCUCCCUAGUCCGCCGCUCCGCGCCAGCAGCGAGGCGCGCACGCGCCCACGAGACGCGCCAACAGCCAACCCAUCGCGGGCAUUGAUUUACAGAAAUGAAGAGAAAAAAUAUGAGCAUAAACAGUUUUUUUGCAAGUAGUUCAAUCACUCCUCGUGUCGAACCUGAUCCUAUCCCAGCCAGUCCACUGAUCCCAGAGAAUGUGAACCCAGAUCCCCUUCCCCUGAUUGUAGUGACCAUAGUUCCUCCUUCAACUAAUGAGAGAACUGAUCCCUCAACCCCAAGGGAUGAUAGAAAUGACACCACAUUUGAUGAAAGUACAAACCAACCAAGAAUGCCUAUACUAGAGUUUCAUCCAAGUCAAAUUAUUGCUGAUCCAGGACUUAGAAUUCCUAUAGAAGAUUAUGCCCCUGAAAUUAGAAGAAGUGAUGUGCGAAGAGCUUAUUUGUUGAACAAACGAAACAAAGCUGUUGGGCAUACAUUCAAGAACACAAAGGAUGGUAAAAUUUGGAGAUCCUUUCAACGUGCGUGGCUCGACAAGUUUGAUUGGUUGGAAUACAGUGUGGAUAAGGAGGCUGCGUUUUGCUUUCAUUGCUUUCUUUUCAAGAAACCAUCCCAGGCCAUUAGAUUUGGCAAUGAUGUUUUCAUGAAAGAUGGCUACACUCGUUGGAAAACAGGUCUAGCUAGUUUUGAAAAGCACGUUGGUGGUCAAUUUAGUUACCACAACAUUGCUAGGGGAGAUUGCGAUGAUUUCAACAAUCAACAAGCAAGUGUGGCUACCAAAUUCCCUGUGUACAGCAAGGAGUCUGAGAUAUCUUAUAAAAUCCUCCUAACUGCAUCAUUGGAUUGUGCAAGGUAUCUCAUAGCACAAGGUGAAGCUUUUCGUGGGCAUGAUGAAUCCUCCACUUCCAUCAAUAAGGGCAAUUUUAGAGAGUUGUUGGACUGGUACAAGAACAAGAAGGAAGAUGUGAAGGAGGCAUUUGAUAAGGGGGCUGGAAAUGCACAAAUGAUUUGUUCUGACAUCCAAAAGGACCUUGCUGCUGCUUGUGCAAUGGAGGUAACCAAAGUUAUUAAGAAUGACAUUGGAGAUAAGAAAUUCUCAAUACUUAUUGAUGAGGCUAGAGAUUGCUCAAUAAAGGAGCAAAUGGCGGUGAUUGUGAGAUUUCUAGAUGAUCACGGGAUGCUCCAAGAGAGAUUCCUUGCCAUUAAGCACAUCACAGAUUGUACAUCUGCUGGAAUUAAAGAAGCUUUGGUUGAUAUGUUGGAAUUUCAUGGUUUGCUACUGUGAUAAAGAGAUAUUUAGAAGCAUUCAUGAUGACCAGAUCAUGAUACAAUUCCAAAAAAUGAGGGAUCGGAAGGGACAUUUGCCUCAUGAGUUCAAUGUGAUUUCUUAGAGAUGGCUUGUGGUUGGUGACUUGGGCAUACAUUUCUAUAUUUUGGUGAGGAGGUGUUCUGUGACUACAAUAUCACUUACCAGCGUAUCGGCAAAAGGAAUUCGUACGGGCGCCAACAUAUUCAACGGCACUACGUAGGUGCUUACCGGUGAAAGGCGACAGGAAGGCCAAACAAUGAUCGCCGCCAUUGUUGUUGUGAUCUUGUGAGCCGCCAUGGCUCUUAAACUUGGAAUUGAUUGAGGCGUAGGGAGAUAAGGCUGUGGAGAGGUGCCUCUUUAUAUGUUGGUGCAUUUUCAGAUGGUUGUUCAAUUAAGCAUAUAUUUAUGUUUAUCGACCAUAUGAGCUGGAUAAUUUGACCUCAAUGUGUGUGAUUUUGUUGUCGUUC